RNAcentral lists this ribosomal RNA (429 nucleotides) under Bacteroidota bacterium. Its description in RNAcentral is "Bacteroidetes bacterium partial 16S ribosomal RNA". It matches the Rfam family "Bacterial small subunit ribosomal RNA", at positions 355 to 776 of the family's 1533-position model. The record is from RNAcentral. Lineage: Bacteria; Pseudomonadati; Bacteroidota.
UAGGGAAUCUUCGGCAAUGGGGGGAACCCUGACCGAGCAACGCCGCGUGAGUGAAGAAGGUUUUCGGAUCGUAAAGCUCUGUUGUUAAGGAAGAACGAGUGUGAGAAUGGAAAGUUCAUGCUGUGACGGUACUUAACCAGAAAGGGACGGCUAACUACGUGCCAGCAGCCGCGGUAAUACGUAGGUCCCGAGCGUUGUCCGGAUUUAUUGGGCGUAAAGCGAGCGCAGGCGGUUAGAAAAGUCUGAAGUGAAAGGCAGUGGCUCAACCAUUGUAGGCUUUGGUAACUGUUUAACUUGAGUGCAGAAGGGGAGAGUGGAAUUCCAUGUGUAGCGGUGAAAUGCGUAGAUAUAUGGAGGAACAACGGUGGCGAAAGCGGCUCUCUGGUCUGUAACUGACGCUGAGGCUCGAAAGCGUGGGGAGCGAACAGG